AUUGAACGCUAGCGGGAUGCUUUACACAUGCAAGUCGAACGGCAGCGCGGACUUCGGUCUGGCGGCGAGUGGCGAACGGGUGAGUAAUGUAUCGGAACGUGCCCAGUAGCGGGGGAUAACUACGCGAAAGCGUAGCUAAUACCGCAUACGCCCUACGGGGGAAAGCAGGGGAUCGUAAGACCUUGCACUAUUGGAGCGGCCGAUAUCGGAUUAGCUAGUUGGUGAGGUAACGGCUCACCAAGGCGACGAUCCGUAGCUGGUUUGAGAGGACGACCAGCCACACUGUGACUGAGACACGGCCCAGACUCCUACGGGAGGCAGCAGUGGGGAAUUUUGGACAAUGGGGGCAACCCUGAUCCAGCCAUCCCGCGUGUGAGAUGAAGGCCUUCGGGUUGUAAAGCACUUUUGGCAGGAAAGAAACGUCGCGGGCUAAUACCCCGUGGAACUGACGGUACCUGCAGAAUAAGCACCGGCUAACUACGUG
RNAcentral lists this ribosomal RNA (484 nucleotides) under uncultured bacterium. RNAcentral's name for it is "partial 16S ribosomal RNA". It matches the Rfam family "Bacterial small subunit ribosomal RNA", at positions 30 to 507 of the family's 1533-position model. The record is from RNAcentral.